Populus trichocarpa (black cottonwood) is the source of this 156-nucleotide non-coding RNA. NCBI's taxonomy places the organism in Eukaryota, Viridiplantae, Streptophyta, Magnoliopsida, Malpighiales, Salicaceae. The record is from Rfam.
UCUAGAACUCGAGAUAUGGGCUGAGCAUUGAACAGUGUCUGGGCUGCAGGACAGAUUCGGACUUCUCUGUUGUUGCUAUAAUUUGGACUUGAAAAUAGCUUUUUUAAAUCUUCGACUCCACAUGAAAGUUUUAGGCAUAUGUCUUAGCUUUCCAUC